UUGACAUGUCAGAAAAUUUUCAGAGAUGAAUUUGUGCCCGAAAGGGAAUCUGAACACAGGUGCUGCAUGGCUGUCGUCAGCUCGUGUCGUGAGAUGUUGGGUUAAGUCCCGCAACGAGCGCAACCCUUGUCAUUAAUUGCCAUCAUUUAGUUGGGCACUUUAAUGAGACUGCCGGUGACAAACCGGAGGAAGGUGGGGAUGACGUCAAGUCCUCAUGGCCCUUAUGGGUAGGGCUUCACACGUAAUACAAUGGCGCGUACAGAGGGGUUGCCAACCCGCGAGGGGGAGCUAAUCUCAGAAAGCGCGUCGUAGUCCGGAUCGGAGUCUGCAACUCGACUCCGUGAAGUCGGAAUCGCUAGUAAUCGCGGAUCAGCAUGUCGCGGUGAAUACGUUCCCGGGUCUUGUACACACCGCCCGUCACACCAUGGGAGUGGGUUUCACCAGAAGCAGGUAGUCUAACCGUAAGGAGGGCGCUUGCCACGGUGAGAUUCAUGACUGGGGU
This 502-nucleotide ribosomal RNA is filed under the name uncultured bacterium. Its description in RNAcentral is "bacterial SSU rRNA". It matches the Rfam family "Bacterial small subunit ribosomal RNA", at positions 981 to 1481 of the family's 1533-position model. The record is from RNAcentral.